AUGGACGAAAGUCUGACGGAGCAACGCCGCGUGAGUGAUGACGGCCUUCGGGUUGUAAAGCUCUGUUAAUCGGGACGAAUGGUUCUUGUGCAAAUAGUGCGAGGAUUUGACGGUACCGGAAUAGAAAGCCGCGGCUAACUACGUGCCAGCAGCCGCGGUAAUACGUAGGUGGCAAGCGUUGUCCGGAAUUAUUGGGCGUAAAGCGCGCGCAGGCGGAUUGUCAGUCUGUCUUAAAAGUUCGGGGCUUAACCCCGUGAUGGGAUGGAAACUGCCAAUCUAGAGUAUCGGAGAGGAAAGUGGAAUUCCUAGUGUAGCGGUGAAAUGCGUAGAUAUUAGGAAGAACACCAGUGGCGAAGGCGACUUUCUGGACGAAAACUGACGCUGAGGCGCGAAAGCCAGGGGAGCGAACGGGAUUAGAUACCCCGGUAGUCCUGGCCGUAAACGAUGGGUACUAGGUGUAGGAGGUAUCGACCCCUUCUGUGCCGGAGUUAACGCAAUAAGUACCCCGCCUGGGGAGUACGACCGCAAGGUUGAAACUCAAAGGAAUUGACGGGGGCCCGCACAAGCGGUGGAGUAUGUGGUUUAAUUC
RNAcentral lists this ribosomal RNA (589 nucleotides) under Veillonella atypica. Its description in RNAcentral is "bacterial SSU rRNA". It matches the Rfam family "Bacterial small subunit ribosomal RNA", at positions 371 to 952 of the family's 1533-position model. The record is from RNAcentral. Lineage: Bacteria; Bacillati; Bacillota; Negativicutes; Veillonellales; Veillonellaceae.